Molecule: non-coding RNA, 110 nt
Filed under: Burkholderiales bacterium
Lineage: Bacteria; Pseudomonadati; Pseudomonadota; Betaproteobacteria; Burkholderiales
Description: TPP sequence
Rfam family: TPP riboswitch aptamer (THI element)
About the family: Vitamin B(1) in its active form thiamin pyrophosphate (TPP) is an essential coenzyme that is synthesised by coupling of pyrimidine and thiazole moieties in bacteria. The previously detected thiamin-regulatory element, thi box was extended, resulting in a new, highly conserved RNA secondary structure, the THI element, which is widely distributed in eubacteria and also occurs in some archaea. Analysis of operon structures identified a large number of new candidate thiamin-regulated genes, mostly transporters, in various prokaryotic organisms.
Source: RNAcentral
CACAUUCGCUAGGGGUGUUGCGCUGUUUUUAUAGAAAGCGGUGCGACUGAGAAAGUCCCUUUGAACCUGAUUGAGGUAAUUCUCGCGCAGGGAAGCAGAUCCAGCUUUGG